RNAcentral lists this long non-coding RNA (6758 nucleotides) under Musa acuminata (dwarf banana). RNAcentral describes it as "long non-coding RNA (MACU_LNC001795)". The record is from RNAcentral. Lineage: Eukaryota; Viridiplantae; Streptophyta; Magnoliopsida; Zingiberales; Musaceae.
GUGAGCGUUGGUGUGCGAAUGUAGGAUCAUGGUUGAUGAGGUGAUGCCAUUUCUUAUUGACGGACUUGAACCUAAAGAGAGUCUUGUUCGUAAGCCAAAUGAAUGAUUUCUUCAGGUAUCAUUAUUACCACUGAAGCGAUCUUGUUACUCUAUCAAGUACAAAUAUAAGAUAAAAUAAUUAAUAGGUAAAUGUUAUAAGCUAAAGAAGAAAAAAGAAACCAAAAAGAAAAACCAUCGAAACAUUUAAAGAAUGAACAUAUUGCUAGAAAUACUCCGACAAAUAAAAAUUUGUCAUGACUCAAAAUCAAGGAUGUGAUGAUUCAACAAAUGCGUAACCAACGAAUUUUAAAUAUUUUAACCCAAAUCAUACGGGUGGAAACUUACAUUUAUUUUACUUGACCUUAUGGCACAACUAUAAUUGAAAUAAUAGCAGUGAAAGAAGUUACAUAAUAGCAAGGGGUUGGGUUUCGUUAGUAGAGCUAGGAAAGUUACGACUAGAUUAGACUAAACAAGACUUAGGUCUGAAAUUUCAUGUCUUUUCUUCCACUACCUAUAAAAAUUUAUUCUACAGAUCUAAUAGGUCACUAAUAAGUCUAAUAAAUUCUAGAUAAAAUUCUAAAAUUCAAAAUGAUGCAUAAAUCCUGAAGUUUAAUUAAUUAAAAUGAGGAAAACCUAAUAUUAAUUAUUUAUUGAUUUAAAAAAAAACAAGACUUUAUCUUAUCUCCUUCUAAGGUCACAUAGUUAUUAUAUUAAUCACAUAUUUGAAAAACAAUUAAGAAGAAAAAAUUCUAUGACUAUAUCGUGUGUUUUACCAAACUAAAUGGGGAAAUGAAAUGUGCUAUCAUUUCAUAGAGUUCAACAACACCUACCAACCAAUCUAUUACCACAGAAUAAUGAUAAUUAUGGAAUCAAGAAUAAGGUAGAUGUUAAUCCCCAUGUACAUCAAAUGUAGAGUUAUGCUUGUGCAUGAAUAUGGCAUCACAAUCCACCAAAAGAAAAUAAUUUAUUUCAAAAAAAUUCUUCAUUAAUUUCUUAAUCAAAAUCCAUCAAGAUUUCACCUUAAAUUGAUAGAAAAAUAUAAGUACAUGAAACCAGAAUUAGCAAGGAUUUCUACCCAUUCUUUAAGCAGUAUUAUGCCUCAUUCGAGCACAUAAGUAGAGAAAAUUGACUCAGCCUGAACCAAAAAGCUGAACAAAAUUAAACAACGUAAUAUAUAUUGGGCUGAUUGAGACUAUUUAUAAUAUAAAAAUAUCUUAAAUGACACAUUAAAAGGGUAUUUUUCCAAGGGACACAUUCUUUCAAUAAGGUGAUUAUUGACUAAUUUACAAAAUUUUGAUUUUCAGAAAACCUCUAUCAUAAGAAAGCAUACCUUCGAAUUGGAAUGUGUAUUAUAUAUAGGAAAAACAGAUGGGAUACUCCGUGGAGGAAAGUCAUAAUAGACAAUUAUAUUGUAUAUUUAUUAUAUAUAGGAAAGAAAAAAAAUCCCAUCAAUAUGUUCUCCUCUAAAAAUAUCUCAUAUAUAGGAAACGACAUAACUUCCAAAAUAGCUCCCAAAUCAAAUUAUCAUUAGUUGCAUGUUAUGAGAAAAAGAAAACUGAAAGAGUAAUUUCAGAGUACCAUACUCUAAAAGAAAAAAAUACAAGCAAAAAAUAGCUUUAAAAUGUGAUAAAAUUUAACAUGUAUUUUUUAUAAAGAUAAUGUCAAGUAUGGUUGUAUGUUACGAGGGAUGAAGUAUAUACAAUGAAGCUUGAAUCCAUGAGGUGUUGAAUAUCAUAUUUUGAUGAUGAAGUCAAUUAUUAUUUGGUUAUCUAAUCUGUAUGCUGAGAUAAGUGUGCAGGAUUAACCAUGAUGACAGUAAGACAUGCAGUAGGUGUUAAGCCGGAGUCAAGACCAAGAUCACGUUGGGGGUUCGAGACUUCGUCGGAGGUUCUGAGGGAACAAUCCGAAAAGUCUAGGAACUUGCCAAAGAACCUCGUCGGAACUUGCCAAGAGGAUCGUUGCAAGUCCAAGAGUUUGUCGGGAGUCCACCGGAGCAUCGUUGAGGGUUCGUCGGAUGUUCGUUGGAAGUUCACCGGAAGCUUGCCGGAAGAAGCGAUUGACGCACCGAAACACGAUCUGCAGUAUUGAUGUCUUAAUUGUCGUAGUUAGCAUGUAGAUUAAGUUAGGAUUGGGAGGUGAUCCCAUUAACUUAAUCUGGGGCCAAUUGGGCCCUUGGUAGACCCAAAUUGGGCCGAAUGGAUCAGCUCAUUCGGACCCAGAAUUCUUGGCCGGCGGUGGCACCGCUCAGGAGACUCGGUCUCCCAGGAGUUCUGGGUGGUAGUACCGCCUGAGCUCGGUCUUCGAGCAAUGUCAGGUGGUAGUACCGCCCAGACUGAGCGGUAGCACCGUCCAGACUGAGCAGUAGCACCGCUUAGUGACAGAUGACAGGCAGUAGUACCGCCCAGUUAUGGUGGUGGUACCACCAGGAACCCGAAAAUCCAAGAAUGGACACUUUUGAGCUCCGAAUUCAAACUGAUUGAGGAUUAUAUAAACCCCACCCUUUUCUGCAUGAAAGGAAACCGAAAGCUUGCUUUUAUUCUGAGUAUUUGAGAGCUUAAAAGUGUUGUAAAAGGUUAGAGUUCCUCUCCUUCUUUUCUUUCUAAGUCUUGAUCAUUCAAUAGAGGAGUGAAAACUUAUAAGGGUUGUCUCCUAAGCCUGUCAAAAGGAGAAAAGCUGUAAAAGGAUGGUUGGUCUUCGCCUAUUGAAGGAAGGCCUCUAGUGGAUGUCGGUGACCUCAUCGGAGGAGGAAGCCAAAAGUAGAUGUAGGUCAAGAUUGACCGAACCACUCUAAAUCUCGGUUUGCAUUUACAUUCUAAUCUUUAUCUUAACUGCAAACUGCCUCCGUUGCUUUACAUCAACUAUACUUCCGUUUGCUCUCAAGUUAAAGAUCUUUCCGAAACGGUUUUCGUUCGAAGUCUUUUUGAACCGACGAAAGUUUUCCACUAUACUAAUUCAACCCCCCCUCCCCCCCCCUUCCCCUCUUAGUGCUCUUGAUCCUAACAUGAUGUACUCAGGAAUCAAGGCAAGCGUUUAUUGAUAUUGGGUGAUUGGAUGAGGAAAAUUUUGAUUCUGACCCAUAGAAACUAGUGUUAGAGGUAUACCUAAUAAGACGACUUUUGACGCUUACAUUAAUUGGUCAGGGAGCGUGUCAUUCAUUCUAGAGCUCCAGUUAUAAAACUAUAUGUGGCUAAGGAGGUGUUACAAAUUGAAUACAUCAUAGAAGAUUGGGAGAUCGGAUUAUUAGUGAUUUAUUGAUGAUAUGGUUGAUGAUAUUGUUGAUGAUGAUGUUCUACUAAAUUAGAUAUAAACAUAUGAUAGACAAUUGAAUAAAGAAAAUUAUUUUGAUAAAAAAAUAUAUAGACGUAUGAUAGACAGUUUAUUAUAUCUCAUUGUAACUAGACCUGAUAAAAUAUUUAGUGUUGGGCUUUGUAUAAGAUUUCAAGAUAAUUUUAAAUAAUCUCACUUUAAAACAAUAAAAAGAAUUUUUAGGUACAGGAACAUCAUUUCUAGGAUUAUGAUAUCCUAGAUCUAAUAACUUUGAUUUGAUUAUUUAUACUAAUACUGACUUUGUAUAAUAUAGAAUAGAGAGAAAAAGUAUAUUUGGAACUCGUCAAUUCCUAGAUCAUGCACUUGUUUCUUGAUCAUCAAAGAAACAAAACUCUAUCACACUAUCUACAACUAAAGCUAAAUAUGUUACGGUAUGUGCAUGUUUUGUAUAGGUAAUUUGGAUGAAUAACACUUUAGAAGAUUAUGGACUUUACUUAAAAAUCAUCUAUCUAAAAUGAUAAUACUAAUUCAAUUUGUUUGACAAAGAAUCAUAUAUAACACUUUAGGACUAAGCACAUUCAUAUUAAAUAUCAUUUUAUUAGGGAUCAAUUGAUGAAACUAAUGAUAAGUUUAUUGGACUAAAUAUGUUUUUAAGAUAAGUGAUACAAGAAAUACUUCAAGAUUGAUGCUUGCAUGAGAUGUUUCUUAGUAGUCACAUGCCUAAGACAAUCCAAGCUAAGGCCAUGAAAGUGCAACACGCUUGUGAUAUCCAUUCAUAAAAGGAUCAAUUGCAUUCUCCUAGGGACCCACAUGGAGAAUCAGUGGGUUAGUGAACGUGAAUGCAUAGGCAAACUAAUCAUCACUCUCUCAAGCAUAAACUUGGAAAAGCACAACAAUAUUAACACAAACACUUUAUGAAUAAUGCAAUACAAAAAUAGACUUCAUAAAUUCAAAACAACAUGACAAGUGAGUGCACAUGCUACAUUGGUAGUUGAGCAAUACGAUGACCCAUCCUUAAAUAUUACCUGAUAUGGUUGAUAUUUCGAGUGACAUCUCUAUUCAAGUAGAUCCCAACAAGUUACGAUCUAGGGGCUUCAUUUUUUUAAUAAAAAUGGUUUUUCCUUGACCACGAGCUAUGAUUACAGGACAUAAAAUCCAAUAAAACCCAACCAACAUGGAGUUGUCUAACCAAAUAUAAGCCACUUACAUAUUAUCUAAGAUAUGUAUAAAUUGAAAGCAUGAACAUUACGUUAAACACAUUUGCUAUAAAUAACCCGUAACAAUACAAAUGCAUCUCUAUUGGCUUAUAUGGUUUAUGUAACCUUGAUGUAUCUCAAGGUUUCUCCUUGGGCCAUUUCAAGAAUCGCUCAAAAUAUAUAAAGCUUCAACUGAAACCAAACAAUAGCACGAGAAAACAGAAAUAAAGGCCACUACUACUAAAUGCAUUUAUUAGUCUUAGGUGGUGCACCCAAACCAAAUAAAGAUCUAGUGCAUAUUGUUUCUGUACUUUGUAUAGUAAACUCUAAUCUUGUGGGUUUAAUCCACUGACACAUGCUCUAAUCUCCAAGUUAUACUCCAAAAAAAAGAAGAAAAUAUGACAUUAAAUAAAGAUACUGAACAAUUAUUAAAUUUUGGGCAGUUUAAUUUAUUUAUUAACUUAUAAAAAUUAAGUUAGGGAUACAGGAAGCAAUACUCAUCAAUAUAUAUAGUCAACAUAAUAUGUAGACUCACUUCAAUGUGGUGAUGUUAUAAUAGAACAAAAUAAGAAAAAUACUAUUGAAUUUGCAUCACUAUAAAUUUUGAGGUGCAGAGAAGCCUUGCCAAACUUAGUAUUUUAAGCUACCUAUCUCGGCCAUAUUAUUGUAAUUUAACACUACGUACUGACAAGGUGACCAUAGCCGAUUCUGCUUCAACAUAUCGAUCAUCACAGUCUCUCCUGUCUUCAUGUCGUGACAACACAACAUUGCCUUCCUCCCCAUAGAAAAUAAUGUCAGAUCCAUGAAUACCUUAUCACCCCCACAGAAUGGUAGAAGUGAAAAAGAGUCAAUGUCCCUAAUGUUCAAAAAAUCUAAAACAUGGUACCUCUUAACCCAUUCUCCAUCCUUACUCAUCAUCCAUAUGAAAAUUGAAUUAUUUUUCAUAAAUAGAGUGCUUGUCAAAAUCUCUUCAUCAGUUACCCCGAUACAUUGACAAUAAACAUCAUCAUAAUAUAUUGGAAUGUCUUCAUAUUCUAUUGGCGACAUCAUGCUGCCUGAGAUAUUUUUAUCAAGGUCAAACCAUAUUAUGUAGGGAAAAUAGUUCCAAUAUAUGAUGCCUCUAGCGUACAACACAUUCCACCGAUACCUAUUGAACUCAUCUUUGAUAACAAGCUUCUGAUCAGAAAUUAUCCAUUUCCCUAUGUCCGAAGAGUAUAUCUUGAACUCAAUCUCAGUAAAUUCUAGUUCAUUGUCUUCUACUAGUUUUAUUAGUCUAUAACGGGUCGAAGUAGUUGAUGGUUCAAAGGCCAGGCCAAUAUUCUCAUAAACUUGAACUUGACUUUCAGGGAUGGCAUGACCCUCUUUUGUCACUGGAUUCCACACAUAAUGGAAGGUGCUCUCGUCUUCAUACAUGUACCAUUCGUUUUCGUUUUGUUCCUCCCAUCUUGUCAACAAUAACAAGAGGAGGCCAUUGGCAGAGGCAGCAAUAUACGCGGAACAUCCAGCAAUAUACGCAGAACAUCCAUCAGGAAGGGAGAAAGACAACUUAGUUUCACAAACGUCAUGUUGCCCAAUAAGGUUGACGGGCAUAAAGUCAAUAUUGUGAUCACAUAUCCACACAAAGCCAGGCAACCCACAACGGCGUGAGCGUUGGUGUGCGAAUGUAGGAUCAUGGUUGAUGAGAUGAUGCCAUUUCUUAUUGACGGACUUGAACUUGAAGAGAGCCUUAUUGGUAAGCCAUGGGAGAAUUUCCAAAUGAAUGAUGUCUUCGGGUAUCGUUGCCACUAUAGCGACCAUGUUUCUCUAUCAAGUAAGAGAAAAUAAUUAAUAGGUAAAUGUUAUAAGCCAAAGAAUAAAAAAAAAUCAAAAAGAAAAAACCAUCAAACAUUCAAAAAAAUGAACAUAUUGCUAGAUAUACUCCAAUCAAUAAAAUUUGUCACAACUCAAAACCAAGGAUGUGAUGAUUCAACAAAUGCGUAACCACAGAAUUUUAAAUAUUUAAACCCAAAUCAUACAGGUGGAAAAUUACAUUUAUUUCAAUUGACCUUAUCACACAACUAUAAUUGAAAUAAUAGCAGUGAAAGAUAUUGCAUAACAGCAGCGCUUAAUAAGAAGGGGUUGGGUUUCAUUAGUUGAGCUAGGAAGGUUACAACUAGAUUAGACUAAACAGGACUUAGGUCUGAAAUUUCAUGUCUUUUCUAUCCCCAUGUACAUCAAAUGCAGAGUUAUGCUUGUGCAUGAAUAUGACAUCACAAU